AGUCCAGAUGACUGGAGCGAACCAUGGCAACAUGUUCAGCUGAAAAACUUUGGCGAUCAGCCUUUCAAAAAGAUUACAUACACAACUCUCCUAUUGCUGAUGGUUUGUUGUGCAUCAGGAGUAACUGGAAACCAAGUCGUCCGAGAGGAUCAUUUAGGCAAACAUAACCAUGAACAUAAUGCAAAUAUGUUCCUUGGCUCUGAGGACAAAGAUGAAAUACAGAAACUCAGCCCAUCUCAGCA
Cyprinus carpio (common carp) is the source of this 242-nucleotide long non-coding RNA. RefSeq lists it as uncharacterized. The transcript has 3 exons. The record is from RefSeq and is a predicted model, not a curated record. Lineage: Eukaryota; Metazoa; Chordata; Actinopteri; Cypriniformes; Cyprinidae.